Molecule: ribosomal RNA, 222 nt
Filed under: Salmonella enterica subsp. enterica serovar Infantis
Lineage: Bacteria; Pseudomonadati; Pseudomonadota; Gammaproteobacteria; Enterobacterales; Enterobacteriaceae
Also listed under: 3 other names
Description: partial 23S ribosomal RNA
Rfam family: Bacterial large subunit ribosomal RNA
Source: RNAcentral
GAAUGCUGACAUAAGUAACGAUAAAGCGGGUGAAAAGCCCGCUCGCCGGAAGACCAAGGGUUCCUGUCCAACGUUAAUCGGGGCAGGGUGAGUCGACCCCUAAGGCGAGGCCGAAAGGCGUAGUCGAUGGGAAACGGGUUAAUAUUCCCGUACUUGGUGUUACUGCGAAGGGGGGACGGAGAAGGCUAUGUUGGCCGGGCGACGGUUGUCCCGGUUUAAGCG